AUUGAACGCUGGCGGCAGGCCUAACACAUGCAAGUCGAACGGUAACAGGAAGAAGCUUGCUUCUUUGCUGACGAGUGGCGGACGGGUGAGUAAUGUCUGGGAAACUGCCUGAUGGAGGGGGAUAACUACUGGAAACGGUAGCUAAUACCGCAUAACGUCGCAAGACCAAAGAGGGGGACCUUCGGGCCUCUUGCCAUCGGAUGUGCCCAGAUGGGAUUAGCUAGUAGGUGGGGUAACGGCUCACCUAGGCGACGAUCCCUAGCUGGUCUGAGAGGAUGACCAGCCACACUGGAACUGAGACACGGUCCAGAGGCCUACGGGAGGCAGCAGUGGGGAAUAUUGCACAAUGGGCGCAAGCCUGAUGCAGCCAUGCCGCGUGUAUGAAGAAGGCCUUCGGGUUGUAAAGUACUUUCAGCGGGGAGGAAGGGAGUAAAGUUAAUACCUUUGCUCAUUGACGUUACCCGCAGAAGAAGCACCGGCUAACUCCGUG
This 490-nucleotide ribosomal RNA is filed under the name uncultured bacterium. Its description in RNAcentral is "partial 16S ribosomal RNA". It matches the Rfam family "Bacterial small subunit ribosomal RNA", at positions 30 to 507 of the family's 1533-position model. The record is from RNAcentral.